This 829-nucleotide ribosomal RNA is filed under the name uncultured Funneliformis. Its description in RNAcentral is "eukaryotic LSU rRNA". It matches the Rfam family "Eukaryotic large subunit ribosomal RNA", at positions 1 to 673 of the family's 3401-position model. Lineage: Eukaryota; Fungi; Glomeromycota; Glomeromycetes; Glomerales; Glomeraceae. The record is from RNAcentral.
UGACCUCAAAUCAGGUAAGAAUACCCGCUGAACUUAAGCAUAUCAAUAGGCGGAGGAAAAGAAAAUAACAAUGAUUCCCUCAGUAACGGCGAGCGAAGAGGGAUAAGCUCAAAUUUUAAAUCUGUUGGGUUCCACUUGACAGAGUUGUAUUUUGAAGAAACGUUUUCUGCAUCCAGGAUUAGCCUAAAUCCUUUGGGAUAAGGUAUCAUGGAGGGUGAGAAUCCCGUUCAUGGUUAAUCUUAAGGAAGCUCUACGAUACGUUUUCCAAGAGUCGAGUUGUUUGGGAUUGCAGCUCAAAAUGGGAGGUAAAUUUCUCCUAAGGCUAAAUAUUGGCGAGAGACCGAUAGCGAACAAGUACCGUGAGGGAAAGAUGAAAAGAACUUUGAAAAGAGAGUUAAACAGUACGUGAAAUUGUUGAAAGGGAAACGAUUGAAGUCAGUCAUACCAACGGGAAAUCAACCUUUUGAGCUCGGUCUCGUGGGUUUUGAAGAGUUUCAAAGCCUUCGGAUUCGCGGGAUUGGGAUCUCUUGGUGUACUUUUUCGUACGGUUAGUCAACAUCGGUUUUGAAUGUCAUAAAAUGACUGGAGGAAUGUAGCUUCGAUCUCGUAUUGAAGUGUUAUAGCCUUCGGUAGAUGUGAUGUUUGAGACCGAGGAUUGCAACGGAUACCCUUCAGGGCUAUUCGUCUGAUCUCUGAUACGUUGCCUUGAUGUUGAAAGCUUGCUUAUGAUGUUAGGGUAUUACGGUCAAAAGGUUAGAACGAAUUACAUUCGUUAAGGAUGUUGACGUAAUGACUUUAAACGACCCGUCUUGAAACACGGACCAAGGAG